CCUGAGUCUAGAGGAAGCAUUUCUACACACACCAGACUAUUGAAAUCGGCGUGUGGAAAUGCCUUCGCUACAUUCUUA
Molecule: non-coding RNA, 78 nt
Organism: Ailuropoda melanoleuca (giant panda)
Lineage: Eukaryota; Metazoa; Chordata; Mammalia; Carnivora; Ursidae
Source: Rfam